Molecule: unclassified non-coding RNA, 532 nt
Filed under: Aspergillus amstelodami
Lineage: Eukaryota; Fungi; Ascomycota; Eurotiomycetes; Eurotiales; Aspergillaceae
Description: sequence contains ITS1, 5.8S rRNA gene and ITS2
Source: RNAcentral
GAGAUUGGGGAUCCUUAACUGAUCGAGGUCACCUGGUUAAAAGAUUGGUUGCGAGGCUAGCUGCCAGCUGGACCUACGGGAGCGGGUGACAAAGCCCCAUACGCUCGAGGACCAGACAUGGUGCCGCCACUGCCUUUUGGGCCCGUCCCCGUUGCCAGGGACGGAAGCCCAACACACAAGCCGUGCUUGAGGGCAGCAAUGACGCUCGGACAGGCAUGCCCCCCGGAAUACCAGGGGGCGCAAUGUGCGUUCAAAGACUCGAUGAUUCACUGAAUUCUGCAAUUCACAUUAAUUAUCGCAUUUCGCUGCGUUCUUCAUCGAUGCCGGAACCAAGAGAUCCGUUGUUGAAAGUUUUAACGAUUGUUUAACUAAAAACUCAGACUGCAAACUUCAGACAGCGUUCAAAUGUUAGUCUCCGGCGGGCCGUGGCCACGCCGAAGCAACAGGGUACAGAUAGACACGGAUGGGAGGUUGGACCCAGAGGGCCCGCACUCGGUAAUGAUCCUUCCGCAGGUCACCCCUACCGAAAAGC